AUACGUAGGGAGCGAGCGUUGUCCGGAAUUACUGGGCGUAAAGGGCGCGUAGGCGGCGCUUCAAGUCGUCUGUCAAAUGGGAGGGCUUAACCCUUUUUCGCAGACGAAACUGGAGAGCUUGAGAAGCAGAGAGGCAAACAGAAUUCCUGGUGUAGCGGUGAAAUGCGUAGAUAUCAGGAAGAAUACCAGCGGCGAAGGCGGUUUGCUGGCUGCAUACUGAGGCUGAAGCGCGAAAGCAAGGGGAGCAAACGGGAUUAGAUACCCCGGUAGUCCUGGCAGUAAACGAUGUAUGCUGGGUGUGAGACUAGCGAUAGUUUAGUGCCGAAGUUAACGCGAUAAGCAUACCGCCUGGGGAGUACGGUAGCAAGAUUGAAACUCAAAUGAAUUGACGGGG
RNAcentral lists this ribosomal RNA (394 nucleotides) under uncultured bacterium. Its description in RNAcentral is "partial 16S ribosomal RNA". It matches the Rfam family "Bacterial small subunit ribosomal RNA", at positions 523 to 918 of the family's 1533-position model. The record is from RNAcentral.